UUUUGCCAAAACCGUCUCACCUCCUAUUCUCUUUUACCCUCCUCUCUGGCUUUUUGCCAAAUCGAUUAACUGAGUAGAAGCCACUCUCUAAUGUUAAUCAAGUAGAAGCAAGUGUCCAAAAGCAAUUUGGCCGACGUUGAUCGACUAACAAUCCAAAAUUUGUAUUCCAAAAUCACUCUCCAAAAACUAUUUGUUUAAUUUUAGGGUUUACCCAAAAAAAUAUUUGUUAAUCGUUGGUUUUGGGCUUUGCCCCAUAAGCUAAGCCCCAAUAAUUGGGACAGGAAUAUUCUGCCGCCGCUCGUGCCGGCUCAUCUGGCCCCCACCGGUACUUCCAAUCCGGUAAAUGAAAAUCCAAAGGAGGACAAUGAUAAUAGAGGACUGCCUUCUCCAUUUUUGGGACUGCUGCCCCUUGAGAACCCAGAUAGUUAUUGUGUAAUUAAACAGAGGAUGGCUCAGGCAUUGUGCUACUUCAAAGAAUCAACUGAACAACAUGUUCUAGCUCAGGUUUGGGCACCCGUAAAAAGUGGGGGUCGUUAACAACUUCGAGGCAACCCUUUGUCCUUGAUCCGCAUUGCAAUGGACUACAUCAGUAUAGGAUGGUUUCUUUGAUGUACAUGUUUUCUGUGGAUGGAGAGAGUGGUGAACAGCUAGGACUUCCUGGCCGUGUUUUCUGGAAGAAAUUACCAGAAUGGAGUUCAAAUGUACAGUACUAUUCCAGCAGAGAGUAUUCACGGCUUGAUCAUGCUCUGCAUUACAAUGUCCAGGGAGCCUUGGCGUUGCCAGUCUUUGAACCUUUUAGACAGUCCUGUGUUGGUGUACUUGAACUCAUAAUGACUUCACAGAAGAUUAACUAUGCACCUGAGGUUGAUAAAGUAUGCAAAGCACUUGAGUUCUUAUGCAGGCAUUGAAUCUGAAAAGUUUAGAAAUAUUGGAUCAUCCAAGCACUGAGGUGAGCUUCAAAAGUAUUUUUUUUUUUGAAGAGAACUUUAGCUGGUUGAUUGAAGUAAUAAUCAAGCAAAGAGAAGAAAUAUAUAUCAGAUUCUGUCAGACAAAGCAGUCUUUUUUAUGGUUUUUAGCAUUGGCCUUCAAAAAAAGGUGGCUGCAGUGAUGUUGUUAGCCUUUGUAAGAGCAUAUAGGAGUCUAUGCCUCGAAGGAAUUCAGAUAUACACUGCAAAUGCUUUGAUAGAUUGAUGAAAGUGGGAAUGAGUAUCAGGCUGGUGUCCAAGAAAUGAAGUAGCGGUGACACAUGCAAAAGGGAACAAAACAAGCUGUAAGAGGCCAUUCAACUUGAAUAGUAGCCCAGUAUCCAUGUGAUGAUAGGGCAAAAAGCCUGAAACUGUGGGUUUAUUCUGCACGUUUUCAUUCAUCUAGAAAUUUUAUUUUUUUUCCUGUAUCUACCAGGCUGAAGAUUUGUUGAAGAAAAAUAGGCAUACACUUUUGGAAACUGGAAAGGCCUCAGAGGAUGCUUGGAUGGAAAAGUCAUCAGGCCAAUGGUAAAUGAACUUGAGUUCAUUGGGUAAGAACUGGAUGAAGUAAUUGGAUAACCAAUGGACAGAAGCCAAUAAUUCCUGGUUUUGUUAUAUUGUUUCACUCAAGUUGAAAAUUUAAGUCUAUAGUAAGAGCUUGGAGCUUGUAAUUUUGUUCAAGGAAGAUGAUUUGCAUAUAGGAUUAACCUAUAUAUACACGGUGUCAAGUUCGUUGAUUUUGCUGGCAAAUGGGAUAAUUGAAGCAAAGUCUUAAGCAUUAAUUUCAAGCAAAAUUUGCGGCUUUGCUUUGGAAUAACUCUUCCAUAUAAUAUUCCAUGGAAAAGCAAAUAUGAAGAUGAUAAAGACAGGCACUUUAUUGUUUGUUUAAGACCAUAAAUCCAAACUAACUAGAUUUUUGUCUCAUUGUUCUUAAAAUGACAGGGACAAGAAGGUGAGAAGAUGGCUCAUUUCUGUCUGCUGAUAUAGUGGAAAAAAAAGGGGGCAUUUAUAGAGUUCUUUGACUAGUUUACUAUUGAUGAUUUUGUUGAAAAUAGUAUGUUUAUAUGUAUAUACAAACAUUCAGAAAAGGCUGUCCUAUUUAAAGGGACAAACAUUCUACAAUUACUUAGUUGUGCAACUUGAGCUACGAACAUUUCCUUUUACACACCCUUAGAUAAUUUUUGUUUUGACUCAUGUCUACAUUGAAACUAUUGCUUAAGGAUGAUUCUAUUUUUAUUCGUUAUUAUUAAACGAUUGAAGCAGUAGCGUGCAUGGUCAUUAUCUUUCCUUUUCAUUUGUAGGAGAAGUUUUUUAAGAUAUUGAUCUCUUUCUUCCAGACAAAGUGGGUCUUAAGGUAUUAUGCAGAUUUGAUGAGUCUUAUUUAGGAUUAUUUUGUUACCUAACUGACAUGGUUUGUUUAAGUAGAAUUGAGCAGUUGAACUGAAUACAAAUUUGUUUCAAUAUUGGAAUCUGUUACAAAUCUGUUUUUUUAUUUGGUUUGGUUAUGAAGUAAUCUAAACAGUCCCUAAUUCUACUUUUGAUGUGCAGCAGCGAAUAAAAAAGAAAGUCUAUCUUUGGCUUGGACCACUUGAAGAUUGUCAAAAACAAAAACAAGUAAGAAUUUUAAUAUAGUUUUGAGUUGCAUUAUUUCUUGUCAGCUGCUAACAAAAUCCCUAUGUGAUGCACUAGCCUUAGGUUUUGUUAGAGCAUACAUAUAUAUAUACUGAAUGAACCUUGAUCCCUUUUACGUGCAUGUUUAGGGAAUAGGAAUAUUUCAAUAUGUAAUGUUUAGGGCACAUUAUAUAUGUAGUUAUACUAAUUGGAUUAUAGUUGCUUGGUUUAGAUUGAAUUAUUAUGAAUGUUUCACGUGCUUUGUGUCUAGAAUGAUGAUUUAUAAUUAGGAAAGUGAAAGAUUCAUAGUAAAAUUGAGAUAAUUUCUUUUUAUGUUUAACGAAAAACAUAGUACUAACUUCAACUUAUUGUAAAGCUUGUUCUAGAAUGACGAUGCUGGGUUAAUUGUUAUGUUUAUUAGAUUCUAAUAUUUUUGUAAGUUGAUUGGAAUGUGAGUUAUUGUAUACUUUAUUCUGAUGGAUCCUAUGGUCUUGUUUUGUUUUGAUCGUAUUGUUUCUAUUGUCAUUUAAUAUUUGUUAUUAAUUAUUUAUUGCAGUUUCAAGUGAUACAAACUCACAAUCAACACAAUCACCCUCGAUACAAGAAUUGUAUCGAGAGAUUAAAGAUGUGCUUUUGAUCACGAACUAUUUCAUAGUUUUAAUACUCUUCGUUUUUUAGACAAUAUUAUUUCUAUAUAAUUUUAGAAUUGAUUUUAAAGAAUGUACUAUAUUUAAAAUCAAUGCAAAUAUGUGGAUGAUAAUUUAUCAUUUCUUCUUAUUUAUACAAGAUUUUCUAAAAACAAUAUUAAUUAUAUUAGAUUAUUCUAGAAAAAUGACAGUUAGGAUUUGUGACGUUCAAUAUUUUGUCACCAUUAUAAAAGAAAUUUUUUUCAACAUUAAAAUGAUUAAUUUGUCAUUUAAAAAUAUUUUCCAUGACGAUUAUAGCAUCGUCAUAUUCAACUAAUGAUAUUUAUUUUA
Durio zibethinus is the source of this 3553-nucleotide non-coding RNA. Lineage: Eukaryota; Viridiplantae; Streptophyta; Magnoliopsida; Malvales; Malvaceae. The record is from RefSeq and is a predicted model, not a curated record.